GAAAGUUUAAUUAAUAAUAUAAUAUUAAAAUGUCAUUUUAAAAUUACUUAAUUAUUUAAAUAAGUACCUUUCG
Molecule: transfer RNA, 73 nt
Filed under: Bactrothrips quadrituberculatus
Lineage: Eukaryota; Metazoa; Arthropoda; Insecta; Thysanoptera; Phlaeothripidae
Description: tRNA-Asp
Source: RNAcentral